CGGCACGGGUGAGUAACACGUAUGCAACCUGCCUGCCACAGCCGGAUAAUCGGGAGAAAUUCCGUCUAAUACGGCAUAAUGCAUCGACGGGACAUCCUGUUGGUGCCAAAGGUUGAUUCCGGUGGCGGAUGGGCAUGCGUCGCAUUAGGUAGUUGGUAGGGUAACGGCCUACCAAGCCGACGAUGCGUAGGGGUUCUGAGAGGAAGGUCCCCCACAUUGGAACUGAGACACGGUCCAAACUCCUACGGAAGGCAGCAG
RNAcentral lists this ribosomal RNA (258 nucleotides) under uncultured bacterium. RNAcentral's name for it is "partial 16S ribosomal RNA". It matches the Rfam family "Bacterial small subunit ribosomal RNA", at positions 98 to 354 of the family's 1533-position model. The record is from RNAcentral.